RNAcentral lists this ribosomal RNA (205 nucleotides) under uncultured bacterium. RNAcentral's name for it is "partial 16S ribosomal RNA". It matches the Rfam family "Archaeal small subunit ribosomal RNA", at positions 474 to 681 of the family's 1478-position model. The record is from RNAcentral.
CACCAGCGUCGCGAGUGGUGACCGGAUUAUUGGGCCUAAAGCGUUCGUAGCAGGUUUUGUAAAUCUUUUGUGAAAUUGUUGGGCUUAACCUAACAACGUGCAAGAGACACUGCAAGACUAGGAACCGGGAGAGGUAAGGAGUAUGCUGGGGGAGCGUAAAUAGUGAUAAUCCUCGGUGGACUACCAGUGGCGAAGGCGCCUUACC